Molecule: small nucleolar RNA, 113 nt
Organism: Mastomys coucha (southern multimammate mouse)
Lineage: Eukaryota; Metazoa; Chordata; Mammalia; Rodentia; Muridae
Product: small nucleolar RNA SNORA32
Exons: 1
Source: RefSeq, a predicted model, not a curated record
AAGUCUCAUCAACUAAAGAACACCUGAUAUGCUGUGGACAUGACCAUAAAGAAAAAUUCCCAUUAGGUUUUUCAUAUACUACUUGACUAGCAGUUAACCUGUUGGGAACAUUU